AUGAACGCUAGCUACAGGCUUAACACAUGCAAGUCGAGGGGCAUCAGGAAGAAAGCUUGCUUUCUUUGCUGGCGACCGGCGCACGGGUGAGUAACACGUAUCCAACCUGCCCUUUACUCGGGGAUAGCCUUUCGAAAGAAAGAUUAAUACCCGAUAGCAUAAUGAUUCCGCAUGGUUUCAUUAUUAAAGGAUUCCGGUAAAGGAUGGGGAUGCGUUCCAUUAGGUUGUUGGUGAGGUAACGGCCCACCAAGCCUUCGAUGGAUAGGGGUUCUGAGAGGAAGGUCCCCCACAUUGGAACUGAGACACGGUCCAAACUCCUACGGGAGGCAGCAGUGAGGAAUAUUGGUCAAUGGGCGCUAGCCUGAACCAGCCAAGUAGCGUGAAGGAUGAAGGCUCUAUGGGUCGUAAACUUCUUUUAUAUAAGAAUAAAGUGCAGUAUGUAUACUGUUUUGUAUGUAUUAUAUGAAUAAGGAUCGGCUAACUCCGUGCCAGCAGCCGCGGUAAUACGGAGGAUCCGAGCGUUAUCCGGAUUUAUUGGGUUUAAAGGGAGCGUAGGUGGACUGGUAAGUCAGUUGUGAAAGUUUGCGGCUCAACCGUAAAAUUGCAGUUGAUACUGUCAGUCUUGAGUACAGUAGAGGUGGGCGGAAUUCGUGGUGUAGCGGUGAAAUGCUUAGAUAUCACGAAGAACUCCGAUUGCGAAGGCAGCUCACUGGACUGCAACUGACACUGAUGCUCGAAAGUGUGGGUAUCAAACAGGAUUAGAUACCCUGGUAGUCCACACAGUAAACGAUGAAUACUCGCUGUUUGCGAUAUACAGUAAGCGGCCAAGCGAAAGCAUUAAGUAUUCCACCUGGGGAGUACGCCGGCAACGGUGAAACUCAAAGGAAUUGACGGGGGCCCGCACAAGCGGAGGAACAUGUGGUUUAAUUCGAUGAUACGCGAGGAACCUUACCCGGGCUUAAAUUGCAGUGGAAUGAUGUGGAAACAUGUCAGUGAGCAAUCACCGCUGUGAAGGUGCUGCAUGGUUGUCGUCAGCUCGUGCCGUGAGGUGUCGGCUUAAGUGCCAUAACGAGCGCAACCCUUAUCUUUAGUUACUAACAGGUUAUGCUGAGGACUCUAGAGAGACUGCCGUCGUAAGAUGUGAGGAAGGUGGGGAUGACGUCAAAUCAGCACGGCCCUUACGUCCGGGGCUACACACGUGUUACAAUGGGGGGGUACAGAAGGCAGCUAGCGGGUGACCGUAUGCUAAUCCCAAAAUCCUCUCUCAGUUCGGAUCGAAGUCUGCAACCCGACUUCGUGAAGCUGGAUUCGCUAGUAAUCGCGCAUCAGCCACGGCGCGGUGAAUACGUUCCCGGGCCUUGUACACACCGCCCGUCAAGCCAUGGGAGCCGGGGGUACCUGAAGUACGUAACCGCAAGGAUCGUCCUAGGGUAAAACUGGUGACUGGGG
This 1449-nucleotide ribosomal RNA is filed under the name uncultured organism. Its description in RNAcentral is "SSU rRNA". It matches the Rfam family "Bacterial small subunit ribosomal RNA". The record is from RNAcentral.